GCAUCCAUUGUCUAAUGGAUAGGAUAGAGAUCUUUUAAACUUUCAACAUAGGUUCAAAUCCUAUUGGACACA
This is a transfer RNA of Cajanus cajan (pigeon pea), 72 nucleotides long. It matches the Rfam family "tRNA". Rfam says of the family: Transfer RNA (tRNA) molecules are approximately 80 nucleotides in length. Their secondary structure includes four short double-helical elements and three loops (D, anti-codon, and T loops). Lineage: Eukaryota; Viridiplantae; Streptophyta; Magnoliopsida; Fabales; Fabaceae. The record is from Rfam.